GCAGGUCGUGUCGUCUGCAUGUUUACGCUGACGUGAGUGACGUUUCCACCGCGAAAUUUCAGCAUUUUAAAAUGACACGUAGGUUGUGGAACGUCAGGGGCGAAUCAUUCUUAAUUUGUGUACCGCUCAUUUCACAAAGACAAAGAAGGGUGAGUAAACCAGCAGUGGUAUAGGGCACUUGGGAAUGGCAGACUUAAUUCAAAACCCCCGGACAACAUACAGAAAAACUCCAGAGUUUGUAGCAAUCAUUUUUUUUCCGCAUAUAAUUACACUGCAGGUAAAGGAUCUUCAAAGCUGCUCAAAAGUGCAUGGCCGGAUCAUCAAGAAAACCAAGAUGAUCCUUUGAGCUGCCAUUCUGCAGCACCCUUACUAACUGCCACUCGGUCUGGAGAUGAUGACAUCAACUAUAUUUUUGCAGCUACCAACCCGACAUAUUACAAUAUAAACUCUGCAGUUGACUGGGAUUGUAGUGGAUAAUUCUUUGAUUUCUUUUCUUAUAAACUUUGAACAAGAUAUUUUUUGGUUCAGCAUUGUCUAAAGGAGACUGUGAAUUUCUUGCUCUGGAAAUGGCAACUCCAGAGCUUGAUACAAUUGGUGAGUCUAUUGCCAAAUCCAUAUAGUGGUGUAAUUUUAAAAUUGACAUUCUAGAAAUGUAUUUUAUAUAAUUGCUAAAAAUUGCUUUACAAUACACAUGUGCAUAGAGCUAGACUGAUAGAUAGGUAUAUUUUUUUCAUUUUUUUAUAUACCAAUAUAUUGUUUGAAAGUGAAAUAAUAUAAUUCUAUUCAUGGUAAAGUAAAUAACUGAAGUGCAUACUUAUAAAUAGAGAAAUAUCAGUAGGAUAUAGUUAACAACUGAUAUUCAACAAUGCAAUAUUAUGUGAUGGCCUGAUAACAUUAGGGCAGUAUACAUGUGUGUACCAUUUAAUAUCAUUACUUUUCAGGCGUAAGUUCCUUUAAUCAAGGAAAAGGUAAUAAAAGUAAAAGCAUCAACUUUGAUUAAUAGAUACAGAGUGAGGAUCUACAGGUUACUGAAAAACAUCAGACAAAUGAAAGAAAAUACUGCAAAUUGCAAGAAAGGUUUCCGAAAUGUUUCCAAAUACUUAAGUGGCUCUGGCAUGGAGUUCUUCAAAGCUAAAAUAAUGUGAGCUAAUACAAUUAAGAUGGAAGACAGGUAUGGUAAUAUAGAGCACACAUUUGCACUAGCAUUAUAUUUCAAAAGUGCCUGGCCUUAUGAUUUUUUUUGGCUAAAGCUUUCAUACUACCAACUUCAUCUUUUACGAUUUUGGCUUCAAAGAAUAAAAUUCAAAGCUGGUUGGAA
This is a long non-coding RNA of Penaeus monodon (black tiger shrimp), 1318 nucleotides long. RefSeq lists it as uncharacterized. Lineage: Eukaryota; Metazoa; Arthropoda; Malacostraca; Decapoda; Penaeidae. The record is from RefSeq and is a predicted model, not a curated record. The transcript has 5 exons.